This 512-nucleotide ribosomal RNA is filed under the name uncultured bacterium. RNAcentral's name for it is "partial 16S ribosomal RNA". It matches the Rfam family "Bacterial small subunit ribosomal RNA", at positions 28 to 507 of the family's 1533-position model. The record is from RNAcentral.
GAUGAACGCUGGCGGCGUGCCUAAUACAUGCAAGUCGAACGAAACUUCUUUAUCACCGAGUGCUUGCACUCACCGAUACAGAGUUGAGUGGCGAACGGGUGAGUAACACGUGGGCAACCUGCCCAAAAGAGGGGGAUAACACUUGGAAACAGGUGCUAAUACUGCAUAACCAUAGUUACCGCAUGGUAACUAUGUAAAAGGUGGCUAUACUACCGCUUUUGGAUGGGCCCGCGGCGCAUUAGCUAGUUGGUAGGGUAAAGGCUUACCAAGGCAAUGAUGCGUAGCCGAAUUGAGAGGUUGAUCGGCCACAUUGGGACUGAGACACGGCCCAAACUCCUACGGGAGGCAGCAGUAGGGAAUCUUCCACAAUGGGCGAAAGCCUGAUGGAGCAACGCCGCGUGGGUGAAGAAGGUCUUCGGAUCGUAAAACCCUGUUGUUAGAGAAGAAAGUGCGUGAGAGUAACUGUUCACGUUUCGACGGUAUCUAACCAGAAAGCCACGGCUAACUACGUG